UGAGAAACUGAACUAGACACCGAAGAGAAUGAAAGCACGAAGGAUACCUGUGAUUCUCUACUUGACUCCACAAUUUCAAUCUGACCCCAAAGGUGAAGAAAAUUAAGGAUCAAAUUAUCGGAAGUAGGAAAAUGCUCAUGCAUAUCUGACAAUGUGGCCCUUAACUGCUUCUGUAGGACCCCGCUGGACAGGGGGAAGGGAAGAGAUCUCCCUGGGACCUUCAAAAGGGAGAAGUGAAGAUUCUCUUCCCCAAUCCCAAGUAGAUCACCGCAUACUUCCUCUUCUUGGGACUCCAGGUGCAGAGGUGAAGGUCUCCCUACCAGGCCUCGAAGGACAGAAGGAAGUGUCCUGUAAGCAAGCCUCCUCACAGAACUACUUCCCAGCAAAUCCCAGCUUCAUCCUUUCCUGAGCCUUGAGUCAUCUUCUGGAGGGGAAGCUCAGUGACUUAUUUUAUGUCUUCCCCUAAUGUUUUCAGGGAAACACAUGCUACCUCCCUCUCGAGUUCUCUAUGAGGCUGGUGUACUCCCUGGAGAAGUAAGGGCCUAUUGCAGAGAAGAGACUGGGGAAGAUCAGAUUUGGAUUACAAUCAUUUUUCUGCUGGUAUUUCUCAAACGCUACCCCAGUACCAAGUAGUUCUGCUGCUGGAGGAAAGAGCAAAUUUUUUCCAUAUAUUCUGAACCAAUUGUUUUGAGAAACAAAGAACAAUUGCAUUAGGAUGCCAGUGUGCAGAUACACUGUUUAGGAAAACAUUUCCCCACAGAGAAAUAAUUCAAGAGUUCUCUUUUCCCUUGUUCUCUGUAACAAAUGCUACAUUAUAAAAUACUUAUGAAAACAUCACCCUUUCCUCAGAAAUAUUAUUCAGUGAGCUGCUGACUAUCCAACAUAUUGACAGACUUUCCCUUCUGCUAUACUCAGGGGCAGUGAUAGGACCAUGAAAGGAUACUGUCCAUGUGACUAACCAUUGAUGAUACAAGGCUACAAGAUGCUGAGCAAAGCACUUGCAACUCCAACUGAAAACAAAAGAAUCUGAGGGCAUUUAGUACCUCACAAGUUCAGGCCCACAAUGAGUAGGAUUGCUUAUAUAACCCAUCUCCUUUGAUUUACUUCACUAGGCAGUGAGCUAAUUAGAUCCCAUCAUACCAAAAAUACUUUCAGAUACCUGUUUUGGUACCAGCAAACCCCAGCUCUUUAAUUUUUUGGAGUUUCUUCUAAUAUAUCUUUACAGACAGCCUCUCUCAAUGGACUAAACUUUCCUUACUACUAUGAUUUGCUUUCAACCAAUUUGUGUUAAGUGCCUCCAAAAAGGAGUAAAGACAUGGGUUGACAUUUUCUAGUGCAGCUGAGAAGGGAUUGGUGAAAAUUCACAGUAGCAAGGAGUGGAAGGAAAUGUAGCAUCUUUUGUAUCUUCCUCCCCAAUCCUGGGGCUGUAAGAGUGUCGGUCCAGUAAUUGCUGUAAAUUAGAACAGCCUGAACACUGCUCUAACCUGUGUCAAUUGCUAAUGGUCCCCAGGGGCUGUUAUUGUAGCCAAUAAUCUGCCAGGGUAAGGGAGUCCUGGCCAUGCCCCCUUUGCUGCAUGCAGUGGACAGAAGGUCAUAGUAGGUUUCCGCAACAUAUGGAGAAUACACCAGUGGCCAAUUAAGCUAGGCUCAGGUCUGCUUUGGACUUGGGAGGUGGCACAAAGUGACUCUAACACACCAGUGAGUGGGGCCUAUUCUGCCCAUCUGUAUCAGGAAUCUGAAUGUAUUUAUCCUCUUUUUUGACAUCAUUAAACUUAGGGACAUCCAUGGCAGUAAGUAUUGUACAUCAAAACUAGAGAUCAUAAUAAUGAUGCAAUACCGUACGUGGCAAAUCCUGUCCCCACCCACAGCUCAUGUAACCAGGGUCAUGUAGUGAGGAGUUGUACAGAGGAUGGAGAUUGGGAAAGGCUACUCUUCCCCAUAUCAUAGAAUCUGCAGAAUGGGGACAGUAGAUGGUCUGUGAGCCCACCCAUCCUACACCUCCUCUCUAUAGUUGUGCAUAGUGUUAUGGAACCCUUGCAUGGGCUUCCUGUUUCUUGUCCCCCUCCCACCCCCCCGCACAUGGGAUGCCGAUGGAUGCAGGAAGGAGAGAGGACAGGAUUUGUUAACCGAGUCCCUUCACCUCCAC
Molecule: long non-coding RNA, 2146 nt
Organism: Chrysemys picta bellii (western painted turtle)
Lineage: Eukaryota; Metazoa; Chordata; Testudines; Emydidae
Source: RefSeq, a predicted model, not a curated record